GAUGAACGCUAGCUACAGGCUUAACACAUGCAAGUCGAGGGGAAACGACAUCGAAAGCUUGCUUUUGAUGGGCGUCGACCGGCGCACGGGUGAGUAACGCGUAUCCAACCUGCCCAUCACUUGGGGAUAACCUUGCGAAAGUAAGACUAAUACCCAAUGAUAUCUCUAGAAGACAUCUGAAAGAGAUUAAAGAUUUAUCGGUGAUGGAUGGGGAUGCGUCUGAUUAGCUCGUUGGCGGGGUAACGGCCCACCAAGGCGACGAUCAGUAGGGGUUCUGAGAGGAAGGUCCCCCACAUUGGAACUGAGACACGGUCCAAACUCCUACGGGAGGCAGCAGUGAGGAAUAUUGGUCAAUGGACGAGAGUCUGAACCAGCCAAGUAGCGUGCAGGAUGACGGCCCUAUGGGUUGUAAACUGCUUUUAUAAGGGAAUAAAGUGAGUCUCGUGAGACUUUUUGCAUGUACCUUAUGAAUAAGGACCGGCUAAUUCCGUGCCAGCCGCCGUCGUAA
Molecule: ribosomal RNA, 508 nt
Filed under: uncultured bacterium
Lineage: Bacteria
Description: partial 16S ribosomal RNA
Rfam family: Bacterial small subunit ribosomal RNA
Source: RNAcentral